GUUCCUGUAGUUGAAUUUUUAUCAACAGUGACUUUUCAGGUCGAAGGUCUUGGUUAGAAUCCAAGCUGGAACU
RNAcentral lists this transfer RNA (73 nucleotides) under Hirundo atrocaerulea. RNAcentral describes it as "tRNA-Glu". It matches the Rfam family "tRNA". Rfam says of the family: Transfer RNA (tRNA) molecules are approximately 80 nucleotides in length. Their secondary structure includes four short double-helical elements and three loops (D, anti-codon, and T loops). Further hydrogen bonds mediate the characteristic L-shaped molecular structure. tRNAs have two regions of fundamental functional importance: the anti-codon, which is responsible for specific mRNA codon recognition, and the 3' end, to which the tRNAs corresponding amino acid is attached (by aminoacyl-tRNA synthetases). tRNAs cope with the degeneracy of the genetic code in two manners: having more than one tRNA (with a specific anti-codon) for a particular amino acid; and 'wobble' base-pairing, i.e. permitting non-standard base-pairing at the 3rd anti-codon position. Lineage: Eukaryota; Metazoa; Chordata; Aves; Passeriformes; Hirundinidae. The record is from RNAcentral.